This 223-nucleotide long non-coding RNA is filed under the name Physcomitrium patens. RNAcentral describes it as "long non-coding RNA (PPAT_LNC007684)". Lineage: Eukaryota; Viridiplantae; Streptophyta; Bryopsida; Funariales; Funariaceae. The record is from RNAcentral.
UUCUCUGUCCAAAACACACACAACUCUCAAUAAACAACAAUCAUAAUCUUCCAAUCAUAAUCAAUCUUCCAAUAACUUCUCAUAUAAUUCAAUCACAUAAUACUCCAAUUACAGAAUCAAUAACUUAUAAAUUAAUCUCUGAUUUAUUCCACACAUUCACUUCUCAGUAUUCAAAAACUAUCCAUUACUCUUCAAUAACAAAGAAAACAAAGAAAACAAAGAG